UACAGAGGUCCCAAGCGUUGUUCGGAUUCACUGGGCGUAAAGGGUGCGCAGGUGGUCGGGUAAGUCUGACGUGAAAUCCCGCAGCUUAACUGCGGAAUGGCAUUGGAUACUAUUCGGCUAGAGGGUUGGAGGGGGGACUGGAAUUCUCGGUGUAGCAGUGAAAUGCGUAGAUAUCGAGAGGAACACCAGUGGCGAAGGCGAGGCCCUGGACAACUCCUGACGCUGAGGCACGAAAGCUAGGGGAGCAAACAGG
RNAcentral lists this ribosomal RNA (253 nucleotides) under uncultured bacterium. RNAcentral describes it as "partial 16S ribosomal RNA". It matches the Rfam family "Bacterial small subunit ribosomal RNA", at positions 524 to 776 of the family's 1533-position model. The record is from RNAcentral.